This 520-nucleotide ribosomal RNA is filed under the name Escherichia coli. RNAcentral's name for it is "partial 23S ribosomal RNA". It matches the Rfam family "Bacterial large subunit ribosomal RNA", at positions 1237 to 1758 of the family's 2925-position model. Lineage: Bacteria; Pseudomonadati; Pseudomonadota; Gammaproteobacteria; Enterobacterales; Enterobacteriaceae. The record is from RNAcentral.
CGUUCUGUAAGCCUGCGAAGGUGUGCUGUGAGGCAUGCUGGAGGUAUCAGAAGUGCGAAUGCUGACAUAAGUAACGAUAAAGCGGGUGAAAAGCCCGCUCGCCGGAAGACCAAGGGUUCCUGUCCAACGUUAAUCGGGGCAGGGUGAGUCGACCCCUAAGGCGAGGCCGAAAGGCGUAGUCGAUGGGAAACAGGUUAAUAUUCCUGUACUUGGUGUUACUGCGAAGGGGGGACGGAGAAGGCUAUGUUGGCCGGGCGACGGUUGUCCCGGUUUAAGCGUGUAGGCUGGUUUUCCAGGCAAAUCCGGAAAAUCAAGGCUGAGGCGUGAUGACGAGGCACUACGGUGCUGAAGCAACAAAUGCCCUGCUUCCAGGAAAAGCCUCUAAGCAUCAGGUAACAUCAAAUCGUACCCCAAACCGACACAGGUGGUCAGGUAGAGAAUACCAAGGCGCUUGAGAGAACUCGGGUGAAGGAACUAGGCAAAAUGGUGCCGUAACUUCGGGAGAAGGCACGCUGAUAUG